GCACUGAAUUUAGCAGCGCACACACUAAAACUUGAAUGAUACAAAGAAGUAUAACAUGGUCCCUGUCCAAGGAUGACAUGCAAAUUCCUCAUCUGUUACUUCUUUUU
Molecule: small nuclear RNA, 107 nt
Organism: Nannospalax galili (Upper Galilee mountains blind mole rat)
Lineage: Eukaryota; Metazoa; Chordata; Mammalia; Rodentia; Spalacidae
Source: Ensembl